AUCGCUUCUCCACCUUUUGGCUAAGAUCAAGUGUAGUAUCUGUUCUUAUCAGUUCAAUAAGGAAUUUUGGUGAAAGAGUCCCCCAGUUUAAUGCUUAUGAUUGAACCAUGUCAUGGGGAUUGUUGGACUCAUUCUUAUGGUCCCCAUAUAUGCCGAUAAUGCCACGUGGCAUUGUUCCUUGUUUGCAUAGGCACAUU
This is a small nuclear RNA of Suncus etruscus (white-toothed pygmy shrew), 197 nucleotides long. RefSeq annotates it as U2 spliceosomal RNA. The record is from RefSeq and is a predicted model, not a curated record. The transcript has a single exon. NCBI's taxonomy places the organism in Eukaryota, Metazoa, Chordata, Mammalia, Eulipotyphla, Soricidae.